UUGACUCCUAGCUGAUUUAGGUUAAAGCAGGAAAAAACAUUGGUUUUGUAAGCCAAAAUUAAAACUUUUUAGUCAGCAU
Molecule: transfer RNA, 79 nt
Filed under: Batillipes longispinosus
Lineage: Eukaryota; Metazoa; Tardigrada; Heterotardigrada; Arthrotardigrada; Batillipedidae
Description: tRNA-Thr
Rfam family: tRNA (bases 11-78)
About the family: Transfer RNA (tRNA) molecules are approximately 80 nucleotides in length. Their secondary structure includes four short double-helical elements and three loops (D, anti-codon, and T loops). Further hydrogen bonds mediate the characteristic L-shaped molecular structure. tRNAs have two regions of fundamental functional importance: the anti-codon, which is responsible for specific mRNA codon recognition, and the 3' end, to which the tRNAs corresponding amino acid is attached (by aminoacyl-tRNA synthetases). tRNAs cope with the degeneracy of the genetic code in two manners: having more than one tRNA (with a specific anti-codon) for a particular amino acid; and 'wobble' base-pairing, i.e. permitting non-standard base-pairing at the 3rd anti-codon position.
Source: RNAcentral